Long non-coding RNA from Neofelis nebulosa (Clouded leopard), 398 nucleotides. RefSeq lists it as uncharacterized. The transcript has 2 exons. NCBI's taxonomy places the organism in Eukaryota, Metazoa, Chordata, Mammalia, Carnivora, Felidae. The record is from RefSeq and is a predicted model, not a curated record.
UUCUCAAGGCCGUUUCCUAUUCCUUUCCGUGUUGACAGAAUUACGCCUCCUUGCUGUAGAACUGAGGGCUCCCUUUUCCUGCUGGCUGGCUGGCUGGCUGGCACUGAAGGCCAUUUCAGCUUCUAGAGGGCAGGCACUGCAUUCCCCAGCUCAUGGCAUCUCAGUUCACUUCCUACAUCUGCAACAGCACCACGUCCUCACACUGCACCUCUCUGACCUGGCCAGGGAAGGGUCUCUACUUCUGAGGAUCUGAUUAGGCUGGGCCCACCUCGAUACUCCAGUUGGGUAACCAAACACGUCGGCCACAGCAAAAAAAAUGCAGGAGCGCAAUUAGGGGAAGAGAGAGAAGGAGGGAUCUGACUGCAACCUAUGGUAACACCACAGAGGAGCUUACCUGC